This 502-nucleotide ribosomal RNA is filed under the name uncultured delta proteobacterium. Its description in RNAcentral is "bacterial SSU rRNA". It matches the Rfam family "Bacterial small subunit ribosomal RNA", at positions 8 to 481 of the family's 1533-position model. Lineage: Bacteria; Deltaproteobacteria. The record is from RNAcentral.
AGAGUUUGAUCCUGGCUCAGAGCGAACGCUGGCGGCGUGCCUAACACAUGCAAGUCGAACGAGAAAGUCCCGGCUUGCCGGGAUGAGUAAAGUGGCGCACGGGUGAGUAACGCGUAGGUGACCUACCCCUAAAUCUGGGAUAACCUCGCGAAAGCGGGGCUAAUACUGGAUAAGACCACGGUAUGAGCCUUCAUACUGGGGUAAAAGGUGGCCUCUCCAUGGAAGCUAUCGUUUAGGGAUGGGCCUGCGUACCAUUAGUUUGUUGGUAGGGUAAUGGCCUACCAAGGCUACGAUGGUUAGCUGGUCUGAGAGGAUGAUCAGCCACACUGGAACUGGAACACGGUCCAGACUCCUACGGGAGGCAGCAGUGGGGAAUAUUGCGCAAUGGGGGAAACCCUGACGCAGCAACGCCGCGUGAGUGAAGAAGGCCUUCGGGUUGUAAAACUCUGUUGAGUGGGAAGAACCAUCUAAGGUCUAAUAAACCUUGGAUNGGACGGACCAC